Molecule: non-coding RNA, 31 nt
Filed under: Mus musculus (house mouse)
Lineage: Eukaryota; Metazoa; Chordata; Mammalia; Rodentia; Muridae
Source: RNAcentral
UGGACUAAAAGCAUCUUCAAGAACUAAAUGC